GAUGAACGCUGGCGGCGUGCCUAAUACAUGCAAGUCGAGCGAACAGACGAGGAGCUUGCUCCUCUGACGUUAGCGGCGGACGGGUGAGUAACACGUGGAUAACCUACCUAUAAGACUGGGAUAACUUCGGGAAACCGGAGCUAAUACCGGAUAAUAUAUUGAACCGCAUGGUUCAAUAGUUAAAGACGGUUUUGCUGUCACUUAUAGAUGGAUCCGCGCCGCAUUAGCUAGUUGGUAAGGUAACGGCUUACCAAGGCAACGAUGCGUAGCCGACCUGAGAGGGUGAUCGGCCACACUGGAACUGAGACACGGUCCAGACUCAUACGGGAGGCAGCAGUAGGGAAUCUUCCGAAAUGGGCGAAAGCCGGACGGAGCAACGGCGCGGGAGUGAUGAAGGUCUUCGGAUCGUAAAACUCUGUUAUUAGGGAAGAACAAAUGUGUAAGUAACUAUGCGCGUCUUGACGGUACCUAAACAGAAAGCCACGGCUAACUACGUG
This 497-nucleotide ribosomal RNA is filed under the name uncultured bacterium. RNAcentral's name for it is "partial 16S ribosomal RNA". It matches the Rfam family "Bacterial small subunit ribosomal RNA", at positions 28 to 507 of the family's 1533-position model. The record is from RNAcentral.